GGAUUUGCCGCCGCGCUUGGGAAGCCGCCACCGCCGCCGCUGCUGCAUGGCACUAGGCUCCCGGCGGGGCAGGUUCCGCAGCCGGCACCGCUCUGGCUAGGCGCACGGAGGCGCCUUGCUUAGUCUGACCCUUAUUUGGCCAGGCGUAAAACUUGUCCUGCCUAAAAGCCUACUGAGACCUCCUAACUGGUCUAAUCCGCGGGAGACGCCAAAGGCGGCGGCCGUUUGUGCGCACAGGAUUUUUCUUGGAGCUGUAGCAGUCUAGGAAGCCAGGGUGGAACUUUUGCUAAGCUCCCGUUGUAAGCCCAGAGCUGUAAUAACUGCUGAGACACAACCAGCAGUAUACAGGCUCCAGUUGGAAAUCGAGAACUUUCCAGGGCUGUCACCCAGGCUGGAGUGCAGUGGUGCCAUCACAGCUCACUGCAGCCUCGACCUCCUAGGCUAAAGUGAUCCUCCCAACUCAGCCUCCCGUAGCUGGGACUACAGGAAUGUGCCACGCCCAGGUAAUCUUAAUUUUUUGUGGAGACGAGGUCUUGCUAUGUGGCCCAAGCAGAUCUCGAACUCCUGAGCUCAAGGGAUCCUCCCACCUUGGUCUCCCAAAGUGCUGGGAUUUGCAGGCGUGAACCACCACACCUGGCCAUAAACCAACUUCUCAUUGCUUACCUGGCUUUCCAAGAAAAGAGAGAGGGCAGAGGGAAAAUAUUUAUUAUUUUGCUAUGUACUGAGUAUUCUAAGCAUGGACUUGUAUCGUCUCUGUUCUCUCAACAACCUCUCUAAAACUUCAACGUAGAAAUUUCCAUCUUAAAAUUAAGCGACAAGAACUAGAAAUGGCAAGUAAUUCAUCCAGAGGUUACUGGGAUUUGAAUACUGGACAGGCAGAUCCCCCUCAUUUCAAAUUAAUACUACAUUAGCUGUCUUUUUUAUUUCUUUUUUCUUUUUGUUUGUUUGAGACAGGAUCUCGCUUUGUACGCCAGGCUGGAGUGCAGUGGCGCGAUCCUGGGUCACCUCCCAGAUUCAAGCAAUUCUGUGCCUCAGCCACCAAGUAUCUGGGACUACAGGCGUGAGCCCGGCUAAUUUUUGUAUUUUUAGUAGAAACAGAGUCUCACCAUAUUGCCCAGGCUGGGCUCAAACUCCUGGCCUCAAGUGAUCCUCCCACUUCUGCCUCCCAAAAUGCUGGGAUUAGCACCUGACCUUACGUUAGCAAUCCUGUUGACUUAUUUAAGACAAAACGUGCUUUAAGACAAAAUCUGUGCCAAAGGUUUUCAGAUAAAGAUAAAAUUAGCAAUGUAACCAUAAAAUUCAAAGUUGCCUUGGGCUGAGUUGGUAGAAUGUUUAUGCAGAUCAAGGAACUCCAAAAGUUAAAAAACAGAAGUGGAAGUGAGCAUUAGGGAAUGGGGAAAGAGUUGGUGGAGAGAGGAAAUAUUUGUGUAAACAUUUAACCAUCUCCAAACACCAGCAAAGAACAGUUGAAACGAUUUGCUAUACUCACUGUCCACCCGUGUUAACUUUAUGGUAUGUGACAUACAGCAAAAAUUACAUGUAAUUUUUGACUAAGCCUUUUAGCUCUUUCAAUCCCUUCGUAGUAUGUCACCCCCUCUCUUCCCAUAAUUAAAAAUUAUAAGACACCUAGUAAAUAUAAUACACUCAUAGAAUUAAGUUAUAAGUCCAUCAAGUACAUUUCCAAUUGGAAGUUAAGAGUGAUGCUGACCCUUCACAGUUGACUGGGCUGAAGUUGGGAACUGAUUCAAUAAACUUCCACCACAAGGAUGUCAAAUUGCUCCUCAGGGUAUUCUCAGAGAGUCUUUUCCCUAGGCUUGAUCUCCUUACCCUAAGUGUUAGGACACACCAUUCCUCUCUUGCUUGCAGUAUUCAAUGACUUUACCCACUAAUAAAAUGAUAGUAAAUAGUAAGAGUGAAUAUGGCUUGUAAGUAAUGCUAACAAAACUGUGAUGGCUUAGCAAAGUAAAAGAUGGUUUUAUGGUCAGUAAGUUUGGAUUAAAGCUUACUAAAGCUUGAUGCUUUGUUACCAGUCUGCUAAAGAACUACCUUCUUAAUUUGAUUUCCUACUUACUGGAUACCUAUUGGAAAACUAGAGAGAUAUGAUAGGCUUUCAUUUAUUGCUGCCGUAAAUAAAUUUUUAAAAUAGAGAAAUAACAGCUUUGUCAUUAGUGUAGAGCACAGUUUGCCUCUGCUAGGUCAGUAUUGGGCUUGCUUCGUUUAAGUCAUUAACCAUUAGGAUCACCCAACUUGUCCUGCCUAAAAGCCUACUGAAAAAACAUGCAUAUAACUUUUGCAUAUUUAUUUUGCUACUUAUUGUUGAUUUUCUAUAGGAAACUAUUUAUACUCCUCAGUGUAUAUGGCCAACUUGGAAGUUCUACUUCCUAUAAUUAUGUCAGCAGUUAGUGAAGAUGAUCAAAACAGCCAUUCUGAAUUUAAUAAACAGAUGAGCCUCAGACUCUGGAUCUCCAUGACCCAACCCUAUGAGGCUCUGCCUGAAGAACCAAUCAAGCUUCCCACUUUGAUAUUUUAGUGACUGUAGCAUCUUGUUCCUCUUCUAAAUUAAACACCACAGAUGCUCCCAUUUCAUGGCUGUGUAGGCACGAUGGACUCACCACUGCCUUCCAUACCACCACCUGGUUUAUACAAUAAUUUUCCAAUUCUAGUUGUCCAAAACGAAGCUAUACAAAACUCACAAAUCCAUUAUUGUCUUCCAUGUAGAGAUAAAAAAGCAAGGAAUAUGCUUGUUAAAAAGCAUGCAAUACUUUAUGAAUCCUCGGUGAUGUACUUUUUGGGCUCGCUGCUGCUGGAGAUUUUGCUAAUGCCCCUACACGUUUUAAUGCAGUCCACCAAGCUCUUUGCUAGUAAGCUGGUUUCCACUUUUUUUUUUUCCUUUUUCUUUUUCUUUUCUUUUCUUUUUUUUUUUUAAACAGACAGGAUCUCCCUUUGUUGCCCAGGCUGGAGUGCAGUGGUUAUUCAUAGGCAUGAUGAUGGCUCACUACAGUUUCAAACUCCUGGACUUAAACAAUCCUGUCUCAGCCUCCUGAGUAGCUGGGACUUACAGAUGCGCACCACCAUACCUGGCAUCCCACAUAUUUUUCUAAUCAUUAUCCCCUUCUUUCCUAAAUUUUCUUCAAGGAAACCAAACUCAGUCCCAACUUCCAUAAGCUAACACUUAUACAAUUAAAAUGACAUUUAGCUUCUGGAAUCAAUGUGGAAAGAAAUGACAACUUAUUUGCUGAUUAUUUUUCACUGUAAUAAAUAUUAGGCCUUUUAUCUGGAAGGAAAUACCAAACCCUUGUUUAAUAUUAAUAACUUGUAAAUUAUUGUACACGUAAUUUCAUUCUCUCUUCCCAUGUCUUCAUUUUUCUGCCUCUGGCUUUUCACCUUGUUGUGAAUUCCUAGUUUUAUAGUACUUUUAUACUGUAUGAUACUGACUUCUUAAGCAUACAAAAAACUUCAGAACUCAAGCAAUUCCACCUGUAAGCCUUGUCUAGUGAUGCCUAUGGCAAAAAAGGACCCAUACAUUUGAUGUACUUAUCACUCAAAAAUCAUUCCCAGAGAAUUCUCAGGAAACUCAGAACAGGGCCUACCCUGAAUUCUGAGAACAGGACCAUUUUUAAGUCCUUUAAGUCCUUCAUUGACACCCUUCCUUUCUCUUACUUUCUUUUCUUUCUUAUUUUUCUCUUUCUUUCUUUUCUUUUCUUUUUUUCUUUUUCUUUUCUUUCCUUUCUUCCUUCUUUCCUUUCCUUUCCUUUUUUCCUUUCUUUUACUUUUCUCUUUCUUUCUUUCUCUCCCUUUCCUUUCCUUUUCCUUUUCCUUCCCCGUCCCUUCCCCGUCCCGUUCCAUUCCGUUCCAUUCUGUCUUGCUCUGUUACCCAGGCUGGAGGGCAGUGGUGCAAUCAUAACUCAGUGCAGUCUUGACCUCUUGGGCCCAAGGGAUCCUCCCAUCUCAGCCUCCUGCAGGCAUGCACUAUCAAGUCCAGCUGAUUUUUUUUUUUUUUUCAUUUUAUUUUUUCUAAACACCGGGUUUCACCAUGUUGCCCAGGCUGGUCUGGAACUCCUGGCUUCAAGUGAUCUUCCUGCCUUGGCCUCCCAAAGUGCUGAGAUUACAGGCAUGAGCCACAGUGCCCGGCCAACACCCUUACCUUUAUGUUCCCAGUCACAUUAUGUCAAAUAUUUCAGAAUGCUUCUUUGUUUCAAAUUAAAUACACAUUCAUAAAUUUACUGCUUUGGUUCUUUGGAUAAUCAAUCAGUCAGGUCUAUAGGAGAGAUGAUUUUUGUUGUUUUUCUUGUGAAAAAUGUGAAGAAUAAGUUGAAUGGUUGGCAUACUGCCACAUCUUAUAGCCAUUGAGUUAAAUAUUCAUUUGAAUUAGGUUUAAAACGUGGUUGAGGCUCUUGAAAUGCUAGUAAUCCAUAGAUUCUUUAUCAUUAGUGCCUCACGCAUUAGAAAUAGCAGUACUUCUGCUGGGGAAUGUAUCAUCUGGGAAAAGUCUUGGCUACCCUACCUGCAGGUCCUCUAUUCAUAGUGUAAUAAAAGAAAAACAAUAAAAAUGAUCUUUUCUACAAGAUUAUCCAAAACUCCUACAGCAUCCCUCCAGGCAUCAGCUGAGGGCUCUUAUUCCAAAGUCACUUACUGUUGCUGGAAUUCUUUUAUUCUGCCAGGAUCCAGGCAGUCGCUGCUGCCAUGAUCUAGUCCCUAAUGACCUCUCUCUUCAGCUUGGCCAGCUAAGCUCUCUCCUGCUGGCGCCCUGGCCCUGCCCCUUCUCUGCUCUCAGGUAACAGAGAAAGAGGAGUUGUGGUUGGCCCUGGAACCUGGAUACAGACCCAGGGGAAGUCUAAAGCUCUCCACUCUGUUCAGCCAGAGGCCACCAGCCUCUGCACCAGCCCUAAUUGGCUCUAGAGGUGCAACUGAUCGGUCUCCUCCUCUUUUAUCUCUGCUCAGUCAUCACCAUGUCUCCAGGUCAGGGUCUGUGGUCUUCUCAGAGAGACACACCCUCCUCCCUAUCAGGGCUGUACCUGGCUAGAAGAGUUUGUUUAAACAUCUGCCCCUGCAGUGCGCACUGGGUGGUUUCCUGUCUUUGUGUCCUUCUCCUAAAUUGGAGCCACUUCAUCCCAGUCACCUUGGAACCUGACUCAAGAAAUGGCAGUUCCAUGCCUAUUUCUCUGGACACACAAAGGGGUCCUGUCUCCAGGGUAAUCUCAGAUUGGAUCACCCCUUGUUUCACUUAGACUCAGGUGCCCCUUCUCCCAACGAGGAUGCAUAUAGAAUAGAAUUAGGCCCUGCUCCCAGACAAGCAAUCUAGAAGUCCAUUCUCAUUGGUUGACCUUCUGUGGUGUUCCUGAAAUUGCCUUGUAGCCAAUCAGACACUAAGUAAACCCAGGAGCCUUGGAACCUCUGGACCUCAGUUUUCCUUGACUCACUGAUUUUCCACUGGUCUGGUGCCUCAGAAGAACCAGAUUCUCCUGUUCAGUCGUCACUUCCCUUCUGCUGCUUCCCUGCUUUAGAAACUAAGCCCUGUCUUGCUUUUGUCAAUUCUGUAUUUAUACCCCUACACAAAACUGAAUGGCCACUGGCCUCCAGAUGGUUCUCCUACACUUCAGUCUUUCACUGCUAGCCUGCCUGCCGAAUUGGAAACCCUGGUAUGACCAUUUCCAAAAUUAGAAACCAGACUGCACCAUCUCCCAGGGGCACUAUGCCUGCAUCUCUCAGCACUCAGUCGAGCCAACCUCUGCAAGUGUCCCAGACACCCUUCCUUCCAGUCUCUUCUACUCCCCUCCCCCAUAUUUCUGGCUAUGGUGAUUUGGGCUUUUGCCUUCCACUCUUUGCCCAACCUUGCUGAAGUCUUAACACAUUGGACCUCCCCUGCCUGAACUAUGCCAAGCAGAAGAAAGGCGAAUUCAAGGGUUACCUAAACCCUGGAUAUUCUUUCAGAGGCCUCAUCACACAUCCUAUCAAACACUGGAAAAUGUCCUAUCCCACAUGAAAAGCACGACGUUUUGUUAUGAAAAUUAAAGGAAAUCAUAUAAUUUUCCUCUUGAAACAUUUAUUAAUUGCAUUUUAUAAUUUGCUUUGUGUUUUAGAGCCAGGCCAUUUUCUUGUCCAGCUCUCAAACAAUUUGAUAAGACUGGGAAAUGCUUAUGAGCUCUGGGCACUGCACCUAUAGUGAGAACUUGAGCCUUAAAGGAUUAGAAAAAUGCCUCUGGGAGGAAAGCAAACACACACGUCUCUAUGAUGCAGUUCAAGCCCCUCACCCCCAUCAUCACUUAAAUCUCUCUCUUGCCCAGUUUCUAUAUCCUAAUGGGCUUCUUUGCCUGAUCCCCUGUCUUGGCUACUCACCUUCUGCCAGCAGCUCUCAGACAAACACUCCCCUUAUUCCCAAAGCAAGCUGGCCUGCCUGGAUUUCAAGAGUUUCACCAGCCCCUAGAUUCCCUUUCAAGCCCUUGUUCCACCUCUGAGGACCCUGCCCCCAGGCGACUGCCACUUUGGACUAUGGCAUUUGUUUGCUUGACCCUGUAGAAAUGAUAACUGAACUCUCUUAAGGCUGCAGCUUCAUCUGGCUCUCUGGAGCCCCAGCCCCCUUCAAAGCCCUGAUCUGGGAUUGCAUAUUGGGUGCUUCAGUCUUUCCCUGCCUGCUGGGACUGACCAGCAAAGGCCAUUUGUGUCCCAAGUAGGACAGCUACCAGAAAUCACACUUCACAUUUUCCUACUUAAGGUGCCUGCUUACAUUUCCCUGUGCUUUGAGUGUCUCCUUCUCUAAAGGAGCCUUUUAUGAGUCAGUUACAUGUGGCAUCCCUGCUACACUUCUCUGUGGCUUUUCUGAUCAGUUAUACAGAUUAAGAACAUGUACAAGAAAGCCAAAAUAUCCCCAGCAAUUACCCCAGGUUACGUCUCUUGUAAAUGUUAACCAUUACUCAGUUGAAAUAGCCAUUAAUAGUUGGCUUUUGUGUUCCAGGAUUUCUGAGGUCACUGAAUUACUAGUGAUUCUGCAAUUUCAAUAUAUUUCUUAAAAUUAAAUUACACAUAUUUUGGGUACACAGUGAUCCAGUUAAGAGGGAGAGUCUGCAAUUAUAUAUUUUUGUCUCUUUAGUUUCCUUUCUCAUUUUUUUCCCCCAGAAAGGAAAUUAGACUAGCCUUUUAAAAAUGGUGUUCUGCUACAGUCUGCAAUUUUGAGAGGAAAGGUGAUGAAUGCCUUUAUUUUCAUGUCGUCAAAAGCUCAGCAAGAAUUUGCGUCUAUUUUGACUGUGGAGCCUACUGUGUGCAAAACAGGUGUGACAAAAUCCCCCCUAUUAGAGCUGUUUUCUUUCCAUUUUCUAUUUUAAAAAAACUUUUCUCUCUGUGGUAAUCACUUAACCCUAAAAGGCCUGGAUAUUUAUACAAAAAGGUACCAUGCUUCAUUUGUUAAAUACUCUUUCUCUUCUGAGUUUGAUUUUAAUUUUAGUUAUUUAAUUGUUUGGUCCAAGAUAGACUUAAAACAUCUUAUUUUGAAAGAAAACAUGAUUAAGUUCCUGGAAUAUUUACUUGAUCACUUGAACCAAUCCAUGGUGUUCCUCCAUUGGCAUUCCUCCGCGGGACGUGUGAUGACUAGCCUGCUAGUCUUGGAAAAUACUCCUCCCCUGCCCUUCUCUGUCCUUAUCUAAGCUGGCUUCUACAGGCUGUUUUCCAGACCCAUGUGUCAGCUGGCUUCCUACUGGGCUAGGCUAACAGGGAGCACUGUCAGGUGAUUGGAGGGUAGGAGAAACCAAUAUAUCUCCCCAUCUCUUUCUGCCUUAGGCACCAUCCCCUGCAGCUGUCUCCCCAGCGGCUCCCUCUCUUGCUGGACAGGCCUACCAUGAAAUCAGCCCUGGGAUCUGACAAUACUACCUCCUCCUGCCACCUACUUAAAAGUGUAAUAGUUUCCUGUGGUUGCUUCUCUGGGGAAGAAUUUCCCCUGGAUUCUUCUCAGUUUUUCCAUCACCUGUGCAACAGAUUCCUUGUAUCACAUUCUUUGUUUGAAGAAAUAAGUGUGGUUUCUGUUUUUCUAGUUGAAUUCAGCAGAUUUAUCCAUUUUGUGUUUUCGUAAGGGUCUUACCCUGCUUAGGGGAGAAGGAAUGAUUUUCACAGGAAAGCAGUCACAUUCAGUUUAGGAAUCUGCCUGUGCUUCCCCCGAUGGCUUUAGUAAUGUCAUUAUUUUUUCCACCUCUUACUCCCCAUGCUUGCUCCUCACCUCCCAUACCCAACCUGUGUCUCUCCUGCUUCCUCCAUUCUUAGAGCAUAUGACACCUAUCUUCUGGGGUCACAUCCCCAGAGGUACACAAUGAUUUGUUUUUGUUUAUUUUUAAAUUUCUUUUCAUAUAGUGUCCUUAACAAGAAUGUCACUGCUGUAGGAUAGGAUAGCAAAAGAGCACUGGGUUUUUCAUUCAGAAUGUGAAUCAGUGUGGCUUGUUUGAAUCCUAUAGCCUUGUCCUGCACAACAGUGCCCUUGAUAGCAGAACAGGAAAAAAGAUAAUUUCACCACAAAUCUAUGAGGAGAAAAUGAGAUGAAACAUAUGAAAGGAUUGUGCAAAAGAUAAAAGGCUAAAAGAAAAUAAAAAGAAAAGGCCAGGUAUGGUGUUUCAUGCCUAUAAUCCCAGCAUUGUGGGAGCCCAAGGCAGGAGGAUCACUUGAGCCCAGGAGUUCAAUAUCAGCCUGGGCAGCAUAGAGAGGUCCUGUCUGUAUUUAAAAAAAAUUUUUUUUAACGAUAAAAUGCUAAGCAAAUAAGAAGUUAUUAUUUUGAAAUAGUAAAUAAGCCUAAAUUAGUUGUUUUCCUUGAAACAAUUGUAAUUUUAAAAGUUACCACAAAGGUAUUUCUCAACUAGAAUUUAUACAGAAGCUUAACAACAUCACAGUCUUGAUUUAACACAUGAUUUCUCAAUCUCAGUUCUAUUGACCUUUGAGGUUGGAUAAUUCUUUGUUGUAGGGAGCUGUCUUGUGCAUUGUAAGAUUUUUGGUGGCAUCUCUACCAGUAGCACCCACCUGUCUAGUUAUAACAAAACAUUUCUCAACAUUGCCAAAUGUCCCCUAGGAAAAAAAAAAAAAGAGACAAAACCGCCCCAAAUUGAAAACCACUGAUUUAACAAAACCUACUUGGAAAGAUGUGCCUUCUUUUUGAUAUAAGUUGUUAAAACAAACAAUAAUUAAAAGAAGUCUGGCUUUUCAUAGAUUAUUUGGGAAAAAUCUUUUAAAAAUGCAGUUCAGUCAUAAAAUAUAACCUUAAAGAUCCAAAAACCCUACAGUGAAAGUCAGUGGUGAUUGUCACAGCAGUAGUGUGUGUUACUAAGUAUUUACGUUGGAGAAGCUAAUCUUCCUGUUAAGUAUUGUGGUCGGACUACCUAACCAAGAUGUCCUUUCUUCUUCAUACAAUUAAUAACAUUGUUAUUUUUACUAGGUGUUAAAAAAAAACACACUAACACUUUAUAUCUGACUACUGUAUGUUGAAAUCCUUUGAUGUCCUUUAAAAGGCAAGGUAACUCAGAUUGAAUAUUAGUAGGAACAUAUAUUUCACUCUUGACUCAUAUAUUCUGGGUUUGUACUUGUAUGGACUACCUUGAGUAGCUGCAGGACUUAGAAUUUUAUGAGCAUCACAGCUAAGUCAUGGUCUGUAGAAUCAUUCAUAUUUCAAUUCCUAAUAUGGUAGUCUUAGCUACCAUUUAAUUUCUAGAGAACUGGAAACCAAAGUAUAACUAUGUAAAGUCUAGAAAUUAUUGUAUUUAAAAUAUUGAUUCCAGGUCUCCAAAUAUGUCUCUUCUAGCUUAUAUCAAUAGGUUUCUAAAACCAGUUUUUCAUCUCCACUGUGUCAGUUAGCUUUCUUCCCAGCUAAAGAAAAUAUUGACCAAAGCAAGUUGCAAAACAGGUGAAACUGGUUGUAGUAAAAGAGUUACUUUUUGCUGGGAAGAUAAAAGAGAUGUAACUACUGUCCUUGACAUGAGUAUAUUGCUAAGCUUUGUGGACAAACAUUCUGAGAUUGGUAAAAUACUUACUGCUUCAGGAAAAUUACACUUAUUUCCUCAUCUAUGAUUUUGCAUUCUCCUAGUUAAUCUUCUUUUGGGGGACAGUGAGCCUCCUUUGAAGGACUUACGGGCAUUAAUAAUAAUAUCACUGUACAAAAAUUAAUAAUAUGUAUUGCUCUUUUAAAGAUACUUUUGUACAAGAUAUUUUAAUAAAACAAUCUUAUUCAGUG
Molecule: long non-coding RNA, 10195 nt
Filed under: Homo sapiens (human)
Lineage: Eukaryota; Metazoa; Chordata; Mammalia; Primates; Hominidae
Description: SPOPL divergent transcript (SPOPL-DT)
Source: RNAcentral